GUGCUUGCUUUGGCAACACAUAUAUUAAAAUUGGAAUGAUACAGAGAAGAUUAGUAUGGCCCCCAUGCAAGGAUGACAAGCAAAUUCGUGAAGCAUUUCGUAUUUUU
This is a small nuclear RNA of Trichosurus vulpecula (common brushtail), 107 nucleotides long. The record is from RefSeq and is a predicted model, not a curated record. Lineage: Eukaryota; Metazoa; Chordata; Mammalia; Diprotodontia; Phalangeridae.